This 24-nucleotide non-coding RNA is filed under the name Cricetulus griseus (Chinese hamster). Lineage: Eukaryota; Metazoa; Chordata; Mammalia; Rodentia; Cricetidae. The record is from RNAcentral.
AGCCGCCAAUGGGGUAACUUUUUU